AUUGAACGCUGGCGGCACGCUUAACACAUGCAAGUCGAACGGCAGCACGAGAAGGGUACCCCUCUGGGGGGCGAGGGGCGGGCGGGUGAGUCACGCGGAGGGAUCAGCUUAUUAAAGGGGGAUAAGUCGUGGAAACGCAGCUAAAUACCGCAUACGCUCUGAGGAGGAAGGGUCGGGAGCGGGAGACGGCCCAAUCGCUAAUAGGUGAUCCUGCGGUUGAUUAGCUAGUUGGUAGGGUAAAGGCCUACCAAGGCGACGAUCCAUAGCAGGUCUGAGAGGAUGACCCGCCACACUGGAACUGAGACACGGUCCAGACUCCUACGGGAGGCAGCAGUAGGGAAUCUUGCACAAUGGGCGAAAGCCUGAUGCAGCGAUGCCGCGUGUGUGAUGAAGGUCUGCGGGUUGUAAAGCACUUUAGUUAGUGAGGAACGGGGAUGCGUUAAUCGCGCGUUAACGUGACGUUACCCAAUCAGUAAGCACCGGCUAACUCUGUG
Molecule: ribosomal RNA, 494 nt
Filed under: uncultured bacterium
Lineage: Bacteria
Description: partial 16S ribosomal RNA
Rfam family: Bacterial small subunit ribosomal RNA
Source: RNAcentral